GACGAACGCUGGCGGCGUGCUUAACACAUGCAAGUCGAACGGUAAGGCCCUGCUUUUGUGGGGUGCUCGAGUGGCGAAAGGGUGAGUAACACGUGAGUAACCUGCCCUUGACUUUGGGAUAACUUCAGGAAACUGGGGCUAAUACCGGAUAGGAGCACCUGCUGCAUGGUGGGGGUUGGAAAGUUUCGGCGGUUGGGGAUGGACUCGCGGCUUAUCAGCUUGUUGGUGGGGUAGUGGCUUACCAAGGCUUUGAGGGGUAGCCGGCCUGAGAGGGUGACCGGCCACAUUGGGACCGAGAUACGGGCCAGACUCCUACGGGAGGCAGCAGUGGGGGAUAUUGCACAAUGGGCGGAAGCCUGAUGCAGCAACGCCGCGUGCUGGAUGACGGCCUUCGGGUUGUAAACCGCUUGCGCCUGUGACGAAGCGUGAGUGACGGUAAUGGGUAAAGAAGCACCGGCUAACUACGUG
This 468-nucleotide ribosomal RNA is filed under the name uncultured bacterium. Its description in RNAcentral is "partial 16S ribosomal RNA". It matches the Rfam family "Bacterial small subunit ribosomal RNA", at positions 28 to 507 of the family's 1533-position model. The record is from RNAcentral.